Molecule: ribosomal RNA, 515 nt
Filed under: uncultured bacterium
Lineage: Bacteria
Description: partial 16S ribosomal RNA
Rfam family: Bacterial small subunit ribosomal RNA
Source: RNAcentral
GAUGAACGCUGGCGGCGUGCCUAAUACAUGCAAGUCGAGCGAAUGGAUUAAGAGCUUGCUCUUAUGAAGUUAGCGGCGGACGGGUGAGUAACACGUGGGUAACCUGCCCAUAAGACUGGGAUAACUCCGGGAAACCGGGGCUAAUACCGGAUAACAUUUUGAACCGCAUGGUUCGAAAUUGAAAGGCGGCUUCGGCUGUCACUUAUGGAUGGACCCGGGUCGCAUUAGCUAGUUGGUGAGGCAACGGCUCACCAAGGCAACGAUUCGUAGCCGAAGUGAGCGGGUGAUCGGCCACACGGGGACUGAGACACGGCCCAGAUUCCUCCGGGAGGAAGCAGUAGGGAAUCUUCCGCAAUGGACGAAAGUCUGACGGAGCAUCGCCGCGUGAGUGAUGAAGGGUUUCGGGUCGUAAAACUCUGUUGUUAGGGAAGAACAAGUGCUAGUUGAAUAAUCUGGCACCUUGACGGUACCUAACCAGAAAGCCACGGCUAACUACGUGCCAGCCGCCGCGGUAA